This 440-nucleotide ribosomal RNA is filed under the name uncultured bacterium. RNAcentral describes it as "partial 16S ribosomal RNA". It matches the Rfam family "Bacterial small subunit ribosomal RNA", at positions 338 to 795 of the family's 1533-position model. The record is from RNAcentral.
CCUACGUGAGGCAGCAGUGGGGAAUAUUGCACAAUGGGGGAAACCCUGAUGCAGCGACGCCGCGUGCGUGAAGCAGUAAUUCGUUAUGUAAAGCUCUAUCAGCAGGGAAGAAAAUGACGGUACCUGAGUAAGAAGCCCCGGCUAACUACGUGCCAGCAGCCGCGGUAAUACGUAGGGGGCAAGCGUUAUCCGGAUUUACUGGGUGUAAAGGGAGCGUAGACGGCAGUGCAAGUCUGGAGUGAAAGGCGGGGGCUCAACCCCCGGACUGCUGUGGAAACUGUACGGUUGGAGUGCAGGAGAGGUAAGUGGAAUUCCUAGUGUAGCGGUGAAAUGCGUAGAUAUUAGGAGGAACACCAGUGGCGAAGGCGGCUUACUGGACUGUAACUGACGUUGAGGCUCGAAAGCGUGGGGAGCAAACAGGAUUAGAUACCCCUGUAGUC